Long non-coding RNA from Orcinus orca (killer whale), 4361 nucleotides. RefSeq lists it as uncharacterized. The record is from RefSeq and is a predicted model, not a curated record. The transcript is spliced from 4 exons. Lineage: Eukaryota; Metazoa; Chordata; Mammalia; Artiodactyla; Delphinidae.
CCUCGGCUCCUCCCCCUCGGCCUCCAGCCGCCGCCAACAGGACAGUCGAGUCCGCCUCCCCCACCCCGCCCGCUCAGAGCGCUCCUCCCCUCCCCACGCGGCGAGGGGGGGCGGCACCGCCAGUCACCGCCGCGCCUGUCAAACCCGGGCCGGCUAUUUAUACCCCGCGGGGACCCGCCGCCCUCGGCCCCCACCAGCCCGCCCACCAGGCCUCGAUGGCUCUCUCGAAUCUCGCCCGCCCUGUAGCCCCCAACUUCUCCCAAGCACGCCUUCUCAGCUCACAUCUUUCAAAGGGACCACGUGGAGAGAGAGAAAGGGAGACUCUCAGACGGUAGCAUCACCGAAAUAACCUUUCCAGUGAAUGAGAUAGAUGACAGAGGUGUCAGCCAGAUAGAGCUCUGUGGACCCAGUACUGCUCUGGACAGACUUUCUUACAGCAGGAAGAGGUAGCAUUUAGGUUCAGCACGCUAUCUACCUCUUUCAGUCCUCUCAAGCCACCCUCUUCUCUUCUGAGUACCACGCACAAGACCUCAAGCCCCAAGCCUUGCACCAAAUCCCUGUUGCUUUCUAGCAUGAAAGAGAAAUCACGUGAAGAUUCACUUCCUUCCUGACUUGCAGCUGCAAUUGGGCUUGAUUAUGAAUCCCCAUCAAUCAGUUGUCCUUCCAUCCCUCCGCUUCGGUUCUGUCCCUCUCCCUCCUCCACGCGCGCCCCUCCUUCCCUCUCCCUCCUCCACGCGCGCCCCUCCUUCUCUCUCCUCUCCGGCUCUCUCGCGUUUCUCGUGAGCGUGGUGUUGGAUGCUCUCUGACCUAGUGCCCUCUUCUGUUUAAAACUUUCAGUGCGCAUCCGAACAAUUUACCUCGUUCUCAAAGAAAACCAGCUCUGGAAGAGCUUGACAUUAUUGGGAGCAAAUCUAGUAGGUGUGUGUGCAGGUCGAAAAUUUUGUAAACGGAAGCUUCUGAGAAAUGCGGGGUCAACAAACAAAUUCUAGAGGACUUUGUGAAAAUUAGAUUUGUCUCACUUUCCUUUCCCCAAACGAUGUCUAAUACCUUUUAAAUUCCUAAUAUUUCUGAUUUAGAGAACAUCAACACUCUUUUAAAAGUCAACAAAACCAAGUUCGCUUGCUUUCUCAGUAGACAGGGUAUAUCCAACUCGCUACGCUAAUGUUGACAUUUUUUUAAGUUGUUUUAACAGAAGGGAAUGUUUGUUUAAAUAUGUACCCUGUCCUUGAUGACAGUUCCAUUGCUUUCUUCUUUAGCUGCUGAAGGGGCAGAGAGGGACCAAGGAUAAUUUUCUGCAUUCUAAUCUGAUUAUAACUGGGUAGGAAGGGGAAAAAUGCCAGUUAAGAAGCAUUUGGGUGGACCUGGAGAUUAUCCUAAGCGAAGUAAGUCAGACAAAGAAAAAUAUCAUAUGAUAUCACUCAUCUGUGGGAUCUAAUUGGAAAAAAAAAUGACACAAACGAACUUAUUUAUAAAACAGAAACAGACUUACAGAUAUCACGAACAAACUUGUUACCAAAGGGGAAACGUCGGGGCGGGCAGUGGGGGAGGGAUAGAUCAGAAGCUUGGGAGGAACAUACACACGCUACUAUAUAUAAGAUAGACAGCCAGCAAGGACCUACUGUAGCGCACAGGGAAGUCUGCUCGAUAUUCUCUGAUAACCUAUAUAUGAGAAAAGAAUCUGAAAAAGAAUGAAUAUAUAUACAUAUAUGUAUAACUGAGUCACCUCACUGUAUACCUGAAACUAACACAACACUGUAAAUCAACUAUACUCCAAUAAAAUUUUUUAGAAAAAGAAAAAAAAGCAGCAUUUGGGACAGAGACACUCGUAGAAUGGAGAAUGAGGGUCGCAUCAAGGCCACACUGUGAACGGCCACUCAGGGUUCUUUCCCAGCCUGACCCUCAACUUCAGCCCUGUUCCCUGUGACCCAGACCCAAAUGGACAAAGCCCAGUCCCAGACUCCCAGAUCUGACCUUCUGUACUGUGAGAAGUGAGGGUAAAUUCGCCAUCACUUUACAAAAGUUUGUUUGUAAAGUGUCCUUGACCUUGACCCCAAUUAAAUUAUAUUGCGACCAGUGGAACACAGGUGUCUUAGUUAUUUCUCAUGUUCCCCAAACUGAUAAGUUCCAGAGAUAUGAUUCUCAUGGUGAAGAGGGAAAUUUGCUUCCUCAUGAAAUUGUGAUUUUUACCAAAAUAUCAACUUUAAGGACGCCAAAAUGAAAAUGAACCGGUACCUACUAUGUUCAUUACUUUCAUAGCAUAGAGCUCUGUUCUGGGAGUUUGGGGGUCUAGGUUUCCAUACUCAGAUUUGCUAACUGGAUUUGUGACUUAUGACAAGUCACAUAUACUCUCUAAGCCUUAGUUUUCUCAUCUGUGAAAUGAAAAUUAUAAUAUCUACCUUAUCUUCCCCGAAGUUUGUUGUUAUGAGGAUUGAAUGAGAUAACAUAUAAAAAUGGUUGUAACCUAGAAAGCCAAAGGUGUUACUAACCAAUGUAAAAUUAAACCAUCCCUUUUGGAUUUGAAAAUGAAACCAUUUGGGAACCCAAUUUCACGUUUGACAUAGUAAAAAGGUUCUGUUUGUUAUAAAAGUUUAGCAGCAGUGUAACCACUAUAACUGUCCCCAAGGGCUUAGAGACAGACACCUUAUAAACCAUCAUGAUCGAGACAUAUAAGGAGAAAAGUUUCAGCUGCAGUGAAAUCAAACGGUCCCCGGAUCUGAACGGUCUAUGUAAGAUUUUUUCUACUAAUGUUUAAAUUUUUAAAUUGUGGUAAUCAAUACAUAAUAGAAAAUCUACCAUCUUAACUAUUUUUAAGUGCACAGUUCAGUAGUGUUAAGUAUUGAUACAUUCACAUUGUGGUGCACAGACCUCCAGAACUUUUUCAACUAGCAAAACUGAAACUCUGUACCCAUUCAACAACUUCCCCUCCCCACCAGCCCCUGACAACCACCCUCCUGCUUUGUGUUUCUGUGCGCGUGACUACUUUAUGUCCCUCAUGUAAGUGAAAUCCUACAGUACUUGUCUUUUUGUGACCGGCUCAUCUCACUUGGUGUAACGUCCUCGUGGUCCAUCCACGUUGUAGCCUGUGACAAGGUUUCCUUCCUUUUUAAGGCUGAAUCGUAUUCCACUCUAGGUGUAUACCACAUUUGGUUUAUCCUUUUCACCAGCCGAUGGACAUUCAGUUUGCUUCCACCUCGUCUAUGCAAGAUGUUUGUUAUAACAGUAGGGUGCUCCGAAUUGGUUCGCUUGUUUAAGAUCGAAGGAACCCACACAUGGACCACCUUCAACGAACGAGAAGACAUGGUGUAAGCAUGUGUGGGAACUUGUGGGGACAAGAAAGGAGGGUCCCUCUGGAUACAGCCUCGCCCAGCUGCUUCUGCUUCGGGAGACUGGGUCAGAGGAGCUACAGGAACCAGGACUCGUGUCCACAGCAGCGACCUUAGCUAAAAUGACUCACCUUCUUUUGGGGAUAUCUAGCAUUUAUAGUUACCCAAAGAGAGGUUUUAUUUGAGCCAGUUUGUCACCACUUACGGUGGAGUAUGAUCCUGGGGCAGCGUGCUGGCCACGUGGCCGCAGAGGCAGGUCACCUCCUCAUGGCUUUGGUCACUUCCUCCAGCUUGUUCUCUAGCCCUGGAUGUUGUCUGCUGUGACUAGGAGAGCACGCUUAGCUUCUCCCGAAGCUCACACCACAGGCAGAAGAGCUCAGAGAUGAGGCAACCAUUUAGUCUCUGACUUGGGGAUGGAGCUGCCAGUGUUUGAGUCUAUGCCUCAUAGAGCACAUACAUACAUCCAAACUUGAGUUCCAUGUCUCCUCCAUUCUUCCCCUUAGCACCUUUCAUUCAUUCAUUUCCUCAUUUCUUCAUUCAUUCAUUCACUCAUUUAAUUGUACUGUCAUUCAACAAAAAUGCAUCAAGUCCUUGGUGUCUAGUGCCUUCAUCUACCCCUCCCACCCCGCCUCUCAGAGGCCCUGAGGGUAUCCUGUGCAGGCAGUAUUCAUGCUCUGGACCUCUGCAGGCUUCUUCUCCACAUCAAAAAUUGGAGGCUCAAUGCUUCAAUCCUUCAGAUCUCUGCUGUCUUAACUAAUUAAUUACCAUGUUAAUUAAAGUGACAAAAUGUGUGUUAACUGGUGUUAAUAUGGUAUGUAUUUCAGGUAAAUUAUUCACUCUUAAAAUAAAGCCCUUCUGGGCUUCCCUGGGGGCGCGGUGGUUGAGAGUCUGCCUGCCGAUGCAGGGGACACGGGUUCGUGCCCCGGUCUGGGAGGAUCCCACAUGCCGCAGAGUGACUGGGUCCGUGAGCCAUGGCUGCUGAGCCUGCGCGUCCGGAGCCUGUGCUCCGCAACGGGAGAGGCCACAACAGUGAGAGGC